UAUUAUUUUAUUUUACCUUGACCAGAAUACUGUUGAAAUGACACAACGUUGAAAUCGCGGUAAAAUACAGCUCAGUCAUACUCAUUACUCUCCGUCAAAACAACCGAAAAUGGCCAGCAGGAAACACAAUUAACUUUGUAACUCUUUUUCACUAGUUUUAGAAAUCUCUGAUCUCUUAAUUACAGGGGUAAUACCAAAGAUUCUCUAUUCUAAUUAGCAUCGUCUCUGAUAAUUCCAAGGAGGAUAAUUCAAAUAUUCCAGGAAGUGGUUAAUCGACCGGAUGUUGUUUUGUGAUCAGUGUUUCCAGGGGACGUUCUUUGAGGGGACACAUUAAACUUUGAGGAAGUAGUGUCUUGUUCAGUGUUCACGGUUUAUAUUGCUGAAGGACAAUUACAAGUCUAAACGGAGAAGAGUCGUCAUUUCAAGGUGUUUUCGCGGACGUAUUGGCAUGUGGAUGUUGACAGUGUCGGAAGUAUUAAUCAAAGUUGACACGAGAAGUUGGAGCGAUGCGAGAAGAGCAUGCGAUGAGCUGCCUGCCUGCUGCUGUCUACUGCCUACUCCUGCUGCUGCCGCUGCUGCUGUUGCAUCCAAUGUUGGGUAGCCAGCCACCCAUGCAUGUUGACACAGCCAGCAGCGGGCACCCAUGGCACAUGGGGAUGGACCCAGGAGUGGAGGAUGACCCAAUAGGAUGAACGUUCAGCCCACUCACUGUUGACACCAGUGACACAGUAUUGACCAGAUCUCCUGGAAGUGCCCCCUGAUCAGGCACGUGCACUCCAAUACGGCAGGGGAGGCUGUGCCUCACCUGUCUCUUCUAGACUUCAUGAGAAUGAUGAGAUGCAGUAAAUGUGAAUAAUAGUAACAAUAAUAACUACUGUUUUCGAGCAUAUUUACCAUAACUACCAUUUUUGCAGUAUUUAAACAGUUUCAAUCAUUUUCAAUCAUUUUUGUGGCCAAAACCGCACUAUUUUCCCACCUCCUGCUCCGAAUACACUGAAUUUGGGCCAACUCCUGAGUUGGCCUCACCGCAGAUUGCGCAAUCCCUCAGUAACAAGCUUCAGCGCAUGCGCCAUUUUGCUCGUUCUGUGUAUGCAAUUCGUAAUAUUGUAUUAAACGUUUUUAUACACUUAA
Engraulis encrasicolus (European anchovy) is the source of this 1131-nucleotide long non-coding RNA. RefSeq lists it as uncharacterized. The transcript has 3 exons. The record is from RefSeq and is a predicted model, not a curated record. Lineage: Eukaryota; Metazoa; Chordata; Actinopteri; Clupeiformes; Engraulidae.